GACGAACGCUGGCGGCGUGCUUAACACAUGCAAGUCGAACGGAAAGGCCCUGCUUUUGUGGGGUGCUCGAGUGGCGAACGGGUGAGUAACACGUGAGUAACCUGCCCUUGACUUUGGGAUAACUUCAGGAAACUGGGGCUAAUACCGGAUAGGAGCUCCUGCUGCAUGGUGGGGGUUGGAAAGUUUCGGCGGUUGGGGAUGGACUCGCGGCUUAUCAGCUUGUUGGUGGGGUAGUGGCUUACCAAGGCUUUGACGGGUAGCCGGCCUGAGAGGGUGACCGGCCACAUUGGGACUGAGAUACGGCCCAGACUCCUACGGGGGGCAGCAGUGGGGAAUAUUGCACAAUGGGCGGAAGCCUGAUGCAGCAACGCCGCGUGCGGGAUGACGGCCUUCGGGUUGUAAACCGCUUUCGCCUGUGACGAAGCGUGAGUGACGGUAAUGGGUAAAGAAGCACCGGCUAACUACGUGCCAGCAGCCGCGGUGAUACGUAGGGUGCGAGCGUUGUCCGGAUUUAUUGGGCGUAAAGGGCUCGUAGGUGGUUGAUCGCGUCGGAAGUGUAAUCUUGGGGCUUAACCCUGAGCGUGCUUUCGAUACGGGUUGACUUGAGGAAGGUAGGGGAGAAUGGAAUUCCUGGUGGAGCGGUGGAAUGCGCAGAUAUCAGGAGGAACACCAGUGGCGAAGGCGGUUCUCUGGGCCUUUCCUGACGCUGAGGAGCGAAAGCGUGGGGAGCGAACAGGCUUAGAUACCCUGGUAGUCCACGCUGUAAACGGUGGGUACUAGGUGUGGGGUCCAUUCCACGGGUUCCGUGCCGUAGCUAACGCUUUAAGUACCCCGCCUGGGGAGUACGGCCGCAAGGCUAAAACUCAAAGGAAUUGACGGGGCCCCGCACAAGCGGCGGAGCAUGCGGAUUAAUUCGAUGCAACGCGUAGAACCUUACCUGGGUUUGACAUGGAUCGGGAGCGCUCAGAGAUGGGUGUGCCUCUUUUGGGGUCGGUUCACAGGUGGUGCAUGGCUGUCGUCAGCUCGUGUCGUGAGAUGUUGGGUUAAGUCCCGCAACGAGCGCAACCCUUGUUCACUGUUGCCAGCACGUUAUGGUGGGGACUCAGUGGAGACCGCCGGGGUCAACUCGGAGGAAGGUGGGGAUGACGUCAAGUCAUCAUGCCCCUUAUGUCCUGGGCUUCACGCAUGCUACAAUGGCUGGUACAGAGAGUGGCGAGCCUGUGAGGGUGAGCGAAUCUCGGAAAGCCGGUCUCAGUUCGGAUUGGGGUCUGCAACUCGACCUCAUGAAGUCGGAGUCGCUAGUAAUCGCAGAUCAGCAACGCUGCGGUGAAUACGUUCCCGGGGCUUGUACACACCGCCCGUCAAGUCAUGAAAGUUGGUAACACCCGAAGCCGGUGGCCUAACCGUUGUGGGGGAGCCGUCGAAGGUGGGACUGGUGAUUAGGACU
This 1447-nucleotide ribosomal RNA is filed under the name uncultured bacterium. RNAcentral's name for it is "bacterial SSU rRNA". It matches the Rfam family "Bacterial small subunit ribosomal RNA". The record is from RNAcentral.